RNAcentral lists this ribosomal RNA (683 nucleotides) under Exiguobacterium indicum. Its description in RNAcentral is "bacterial SSU rRNA". It matches the Rfam family "Bacterial small subunit ribosomal RNA", at positions 54 to 709 of the family's 1533-position model. The record is from RNAcentral. Lineage: Bacteria; Bacillati; Bacillota; Bacilli; Caryophanales.
CAUGCAGUCGAGCGCAGGAAACUGACGGAACUCUUCGGAGGGAAGGCAGCGGAAUGAGCGGCGGACGGGUGAGUAACACGUAAGGAACCUGCCUCAAGGAUUGGGAUAACUCCGAGAAAUCGGAGCUAAUACCGGAUAGUUCAUCGGACCGCAUGGUCCGUUGAUGAAAGGCGCUCCGGCGUCACCUUGAGAUGGCCUUGCGGUGCAUUAGCUAGUUGGUGGGGUAACGGCCCACCAAGGCGACGAUGCAUAGCCGACCUGAGAGGGUGAUCGGCCACACUGGGACUGAGACACGGCCCAGACUCCUACGGGAGGCAGCAGUAGGGAAUCUUCCACAAUGGACGAAAGUCUGAUGGAGCAACGCCGCGUGAGUGAUGAAGGUUUUCGGAUCGUAAAACUCUGUUGUAAGGGAAGAACACGUACGAGAGGGAAUGCUCGUACCUUGACGGUACCUUACGAGAAAGCCACGGCUAACUACGUGCCAGCAGCCGCGGUAAUACGUAGGUGGCAAGCGUUGUCCGGAAUUAUUGGGCGUAAAGCGCGCGCAGGCGGCCUUUUAAGUCUGAUGUGAAAGCCCCCGGCUCAACCGGGGAGGGCCAUUGGAAACUGGAAGGCUUGAGUACAGAAGAGAAGAGUGGAAUUCCACGUGUAGCGGUGAAAUGCGUAGAGAUGUGGAGGAACAC